Molecule: ribosomal RNA, 450 nt
Filed under: uncultured bacterium
Lineage: Bacteria
Description: bacterial SSU rRNA
Rfam family: Bacterial small subunit ribosomal RNA
Source: RNAcentral
AAUCAACGCUGGCGGCGUGCCUCAGACAUGCAAGUCGAACGCGAAAGUCCCCUUCGGGGGACGAGUAGAGUGGCGCACGGGUGAGUAACACGUAGGUAAUCUACCCUUGGAUGGGGAAUAACAAUCGGAAACGAUUGCUAAUACCGCAUAAUGCAGCGGCACCUAAUGGUGACAGUUGUUAAAGCGGGGGAGUCGAAAGACCUCGCGUCUGAAGAGGAGCCUGCGGCGGANAGUCUAGUUGGUAAGGUAACGGCUUACCAAGGCGACGAUCCGUAGCCGGCCUGAGAGGGCGGUCGGCCACACUGACACUGACAUACGGGUCAGACUCCUACGGGAGGCAGCAGUCGGGAAUUUUGGGCAAUGGGCGAAAGCCUGACCCAGCAACGCCGCGUGAAGGAUGAAAUCCCUCGGGAUGUAAACUUCGCAAGAACGGGAAGAAUUAGUAGGGAC